RNAcentral lists this transfer RNA (71 nucleotides) under Ictidomys tridecemlineatus (thirteen-lined ground squirrel). Its description in RNAcentral is "Spermophilus tridecemlineatus (thirteen-lined ground squirrel) tRNA". It matches the Rfam family "tRNA". From Rfam's summary of the family: Transfer RNA (tRNA) molecules are approximately 80 nucleotides in length. Their secondary structure includes four short double-helical elements and three loops (D, anti-codon, and T loops). The record is from Rfam by way of RNAcentral. Lineage: Eukaryota; Metazoa; Chordata; Mammalia; Rodentia; Sciuridae.
GUGGCUGUGGCUCAGCAGUAGAGCACUCACCUAGCACAUGUGAGGCCCUGGGUUCAAUCCUCAGCACCACA